This 220-nucleotide ribosomal RNA is filed under the name uncultured Glomus. Its description in RNAcentral is "partial small subunit ribosomal RNA". It matches the Rfam family "Eukaryotic small subunit ribosomal RNA", at positions 591 to 815 of the family's 1831-position model. Lineage: Eukaryota; Fungi; Glomeromycota; Glomeromycetes; Glomerales; Glomeraceae. The record is from RNAcentral.
CCAAUAGCGUAUAUUAAAGUUGUUGCAGUUAAAAAGCUCGUAGUUGAAUUUCGGAACCGAUAGAUCGGUCAUGCCAUUCGGUGUGUACUGGUUUAAUUGGUUCUCACCUUCUAAGGAACCGUGAUGUCAUUAAUUUGGUGUCGCGGCAAAUUAGGACUGUUACCUUGAAAAAAUUAGAGUGUUUAAAGCAAGCUCACGCUUGAAUACAUUAGCAUGGAAU